RNAcentral lists this ribosomal RNA (424 nucleotides) under uncultured bacterium. Its description in RNAcentral is "partial 16S ribosomal RNA". It matches the Rfam family "Bacterial small subunit ribosomal RNA", at positions 355 to 776 of the family's 1533-position model. The record is from RNAcentral.
UAAGGAAUAUUGGACAAUGGACGCAAGUCUGAUCCAGCCAUGCCGCGUGAAGGAUGAAGGUCCUCCGGAUUGUAAACUUCUUUUAUAGGGGACGAAAGUGAGCUUUUCUAAGUUUUUUGACUGUACCCUAUGAAUAAGCACCGGCUAACUCCGUGCCAGCAGCCGCGGUAAUACGGAGGGUGCAAGCGUUAUCCGGAUUCACUGGGUUUAAAGGGUGCGUAGGCGGGUAAGUAAGUCAGCGGUGAAAUCUUCGAGCUUAACUCGGAAACUGCCAUUGAUACUAUUUAUCUUGAAUAUUGAGGAGGUGAGCGGAAUAUGUCAUGUAGCGGUGAAAUGCUUAGAUAUGACAUGGAACACCGAUUGCGAAGGCAGCUCACUACACAAAUAUUGACGCUGAUGCACGAAAGCGUGGGGAUCAAACAGG